GACGAACGCUGGCGGCGUGCUUAACACAUGCAAGUCGAACGGAAAGGCGCUGCUUUUGUGGGGUGCUCGAGUGGCGAACGGGUGAGUAACACGUGAGUAACCUGCCCUUGACUUUGGGAUAACUUCAGGAAACUGGGGCUAAUACCCGAUAGAAGCUCCUGCUGCAUGGGGGGGGUUGGAGAGUUUCGGCGGUUGGGGAUGGACUCGCGGCUUAUGAGCUUGUUGGUGGGGUAGUGGCUGACCAAGGCUUUGACGGGUAGGCUGCCUGAGAGGGUGACCGGCGACAUGGGGACUGAGGUAGGGAGCAGACUGCAACGGGAGGCAGCAGUGGAGAGUAUUGCACAAUGAGCGGGAGCCUGAUGCAGCGGCGCCGCGUGCGGAAUGCCGGCCUUCGGGUUGUAAACCGCUUUGGCCUGUGACGAAGCGUGAGUGACGGUAAUGGGUAAAGAAGCACCGGCUAACUACGUG
RNAcentral lists this ribosomal RNA (468 nucleotides) under uncultured bacterium. RNAcentral's name for it is "partial 16S ribosomal RNA". It matches the Rfam family "Bacterial small subunit ribosomal RNA", at positions 28 to 507 of the family's 1533-position model. The record is from RNAcentral.